This is a non-coding RNA of Aegilops tauschii subsp. strangulata, 807 nucleotides long. The record is from RefSeq and is a predicted model, not a curated record. Lineage: Eukaryota; Viridiplantae; Streptophyta; Magnoliopsida; Poales; Poaceae.
UCUACUGUUCUGUAUGCUCUUGGCCGUUGGAUGCACCUUCAGGGCAGCUAGGAGCGCUACACGGAGUGGCCGAUGCUCCGGUAACAAAAUCAGCAAUCCAUUGUUAUUUGGGCCAGCUGGGCCAAUUCCAAUCUCAGUAGCUUCUCACGAGAAUAAAAAACGGCAGGGAAAAGCAGUGCGUGUGACUGUGCGCAUGCCUGGUCCGCGUGAUCUUGCGGGGGCGAGCCCAGGUGCGGCAGGGAUAGCAGCGAACCGUCUCUGUCGAUUGAAAUCCCGUACCCGGUGAUUGAGGAAGAAAAUCAAUGUUGCCAGACUUUAAUGGUGGGUGAUUGCAGAUGCUCCGAGUUGUGACGGAUUCGAGCUCAUCUUCCCUGAUGGCUCUGUGGAGAGGCAGUGACCGCGUGAGGUCGCAGCGGCAGCGGUGGUGGCGACUUGCCCGGUGGAGUUGACGAGAGGCGACGACGAGGGUGGGGCUUAGGCGAUGGCGACGGCGGAUGCUUCGGCGCGAGGAGCUUCUUCACUACCCUUGUCGCCAUCUCGCAGCAGGUCGGAUCAAUUUCGACCCCCAUCUUGUGCAGAUCCAUCCAUAUCGAACUGGCAUCAUCCUGCUGUUCCUGAUUGCCUCUGAGGGUGUGACUGCUCAUAUGUUAUAAUUGAUGGUACAAGGUGUCUUGUCCAGGAUUGCUGCCGAUGGUUCACAUUCUAUAGCAGACGCAUGAUGAAUUAGAAUUAUCUACCUGCUCUUGGCAUUCUAAUUAUAUAUCUAUCAAGAGACUAUCAUUAAUUCAUUAUUGUUCUAUCGGGGAA